Molecule: ribosomal RNA, 274 nt
Filed under: uncultured bacterium
Lineage: Bacteria
Description: partial 16S ribosomal RNA
Rfam family: Bacterial small subunit ribosomal RNA
Source: RNAcentral
AUACGGAGGGGGUUAGCGUUGUUCGGAAUUACUGGGCGUAAAGCGUACGUAGGCGGACUAGUAAGUUAGGGGUGAAAUCCCAGGGCUCAACCCUGGAACUGCCUCUAAAACUGCUAGUCUAGAGAUCGAGAGAGGUGAGUGGAAUUCCAAGUGUAGAGGUGAAAUUCGUAGAUAUUUGGAGGAACACCAGUGGCGAAGGCGGCUCACUGGCUCGAUACUGACGCUGAGGUACGAAAGUGUGGGGAGCAAACAGGAUUAGAAACCCCGGUAGUCC